RNAcentral lists this ribosomal RNA (253 nucleotides) under uncultured bacterium. RNAcentral describes it as "partial 16S ribosomal RNA". It matches the Rfam family "Bacterial small subunit ribosomal RNA", at positions 524 to 776 of the family's 1533-position model. The record is from RNAcentral.
UACGUAGGGCGCAAGCGUUGUCCGGAAUUAUUGGGCGUAAAGCGCACGUAGGCGGAUCGUUAAGUCGGGGGUGAAAUCCUGGGGCUCAACCCCAGAACUGCCUUCGAUACUGGCGAUCUAGAGUCCGGAAGAGGUGAGUGGAACUCCUAGUGUAGAGGUGGAAUUCGUAGAUAUUAGGAAGAACACCAGUGGCGAAGGCGGCUCACUGGUCCGGUACUGACGCUGAGGUGCGAAAGCGUGGGGAGCAAACAGG